AACUCAAAUGGGCCAACAUACAAUACCAUCAAAAUACAUCUUGGAUUGGUGGAGGAAAGAUAUUAAGCAAAAAUAUACCUUCGUGAAAAGUAGUUAUGACACUACUAGCAUCGACGAUGCACGAAGGUACGAUAGGAUCCAAAAUUGUUUCUAUGAACUGUGUUCCAAUGCUUCAAAGGCUGAGAGCAGUUGUGUUAAAUUGAUUAGUCAAAUAUAACAGUUGAAGACACAGUACCCUGGUAUCGCUGAUCAUGAUACUAGCAACACAGUUGAUACAACUCCUUCGACGGAGGCUUCGACCCCUAGAGUUCUUAGUCAUUUGGUAGUUCGGAGUAAAGGAAGACCACCGUCUAAGAGAAAAGUGCACCCCACUGAGAUGAGUAUUAAGAAAUCCAGUACGAAAAGACGAUUGCACAACAACCAAGUUGAGGAUCAACAAAGUCAAGUUUGGACACAUGCGCCGGAAUUUUUUUCAACUCUUUCGAUUGCUCAUCACUCACAGGACAACACUACGGAGGCUUUCCAUCAGGACUUCAGGGCUUUUUGAUUGAUAGACACCAUGAGACAAAUUUGUACUUGGGAUUUUAUAUUGUAAUCUUGGGAUAUUAUUGAACCUGUUUUUGUAUUGAAGUGUUUAGAUCAUUAAUUGUAAUCUUGGGAUUGUAUUGAACCUGUUUUUGUAAUCGUCAUUUUUAUAAUAGUUUG
Juglans microcarpa x Juglans regia is the source of this 705-nucleotide long non-coding RNA. RefSeq lists it as uncharacterized. NCBI's taxonomy places the organism in Eukaryota, Viridiplantae, Streptophyta, Magnoliopsida, Fagales, Juglandaceae. The transcript is spliced from 3 exons. The record is from RefSeq and is a predicted model, not a curated record.